This 292-nucleotide ribosomal RNA is filed under the name uncultured bacterium. RNAcentral describes it as "partial 16S ribosomal RNA". It matches the Rfam family "Bacterial small subunit ribosomal RNA", at positions 775 to 1066 of the family's 1533-position model. The record is from RNAcentral.
GGAUUAGAUACCCUGGUAGUCCACGCCGUAAACGAUGUCUACUAGUCGUUGGGUCCCUUGAGGACUUAGUGACGCAGCUAACGCAAUAAGUAGACCGCCUGGGGAGUACGGCCGCAAGGUUAAAACUCAAAUGAAUUGACGGGGGCCCGCACAAGCGGUGGAGCAUGUGGUUUAAUUCGAUGCAACGCGAAGAACCUUACCUGGUCUUGACAUACACAGAAUCUUGUAGAGAUACGAGAGUGCCUUCGGGAAUUGUGAUACAGGUGCUGCAUGGCUGUCGUCAGCUCGUGCC